Drosophila pseudoobscura is the source of this 1257-nucleotide long non-coding RNA. RefSeq lists it as uncharacterized. The record is from RefSeq and is a predicted model, not a curated record. NCBI's taxonomy places the organism in Eukaryota, Metazoa, Arthropoda, Insecta, Diptera, Drosophilidae. The transcript has 3 exons.
CACUACAGCCCCACUUGAAAACCAAUAAAGACUGUGGCACCCAAAGAAGAACGCGAGCAGAUGGAACAUUGGAAUCAUACAGCAAUGUAAGAUCCUGAGAAAUAUCAUUGGGUCAAAAUGGUGCGGUCUAGAGGAAAACAUUCUCAGAGAUGUAUAAGUUCUACCGUAAAAGUUGAGAUAGCACCAUUACCACAUGAAGCUGUCAUUAUCGCUACGAUUUCCAGCUCAGCAAAUCACCAUUAGAGCCCUGGAACUUUUAAGCCCUCAUUUUUAGCUAAGACAUUAUUAUUUGAUUUUUUAAUUUUAUUUGUUCCCUUCUACUACAGAAGAUCCAAUAAAUAAAAGCCCCGUUCGUGAUCACCUUUAUUUCCCGUUUAACCUUUUCUAUCCAUUCAGCUGAUGUGUUGCUAAUUAUGGUCUCAUUCUGCCGCCGGUAUAUGUAUGUAGGAGGAUGUAUGCAUUGCUUUCCUUCCAGUUCAUCUCAGCGACUUUUACCAAGCUUAUAGUCAUAGAUAAAUCAGUGUUUUAAAAUCGGAUAGCUUUGUAAAAUAUGUACACACGUAGCUACAUAUAUCUAGCUACCAUAGAAAAGAUAGAAAACGGGAUUUUUAUUCGGCAGUGAAAGUUUUAAAUUUUGUACACAUGGCCAUUCAUCAAUUAGGGAUACAAAAAUAAGUCAAUCUGAGUGUGUUAAUCGCAUGUAAAUAUGUAUUUUACUAAAACGUACGCGUAUGUAAAUACAUAAGUGUACAAGGAUACAAUUAUUGUGAUGAUGAUGACAACGAAAAGGUCAUUACAUUAAAAAAUGGACGAAAGGAAAUGAUGUAAAUUCAACCUAAAAGUUUACACUAUUAAGGCAUAUUAACAUAAUAUAUGUAUUUCAAUUCCAAUAUUUAUCAGUGCAUAGCUAAAAAAUUACAAUUUAUUUGUAUGGUUCAUUAAAGAAUACAUUUUUAACUCGUAAAGUUCCGGAUAUUAAAGUGAUUUUCGUCUUCCUAAAAAUAUGUAUACUUUAAAAUUUCGUACUCGUCUCUAUGGUUAACGGUGUUUGUGCAGUGUUUUACGCGAAUGUCGCCUAGAGUACUUCAACUUGGACUUUAUUACAUAUACAUAUAUACAUAUGUAGAUCGUAUAAAUACAUUAAAAGAUGAAUUCUACAACUCUAUCAUGAUGGUUUAGAUUUCGCGGAUAUUUCUUUGAAAGCAAUAAACAUGAAGGGAUUCUUGGAAAAAUAUACUCAAAAUCACAGUUAACACA